This 253-nucleotide ribosomal RNA is filed under the name uncultured bacterium. Its description in RNAcentral is "partial 16S ribosomal RNA". It matches the Rfam family "Bacterial small subunit ribosomal RNA", at positions 524 to 776 of the family's 1533-position model. The record is from RNAcentral.
UACGGGGGGGGCAAGCGUUGUUCGGAAUUACUGGGCGUAAAGGGUUUGUAGGUGGCCCGCUAAGUCACACGUGAAAUCCCUCAGCUUAACUGGGGAACUGCGUGUGAGACUGGCAGGCUCGAGGGCAGGAGAGGAACGCGAAAUUCCAGGUGUAGCGGUGAAAUGCGUAGAUAUCUGGAGGAACACCGGUGGCGAAGGCGGCGUUCUGGACUGUCUCUGACACUGAAGAACGAAAGCCAGGGGAGCAAACGGG